ACAAACUUGGUCAUUUAGAGGAAGUAAAAGUCGUAACAAGGUUUCCGUAGGUGAACCUGCGGAAGGAUCAUUACAGAGUUCAUGAGUAGUUUGAGGAAACUCGGCUGCUUAUACACUCCCACCCUUUGUUUACAUUACCUUUGUUGCUUUGGCAGGCCCGUCUUAGGACCGCUGGCUUCGGCUGGCCAGUGCCUGCCAAAGAAUCCAAAACUCUUUUUAAUAAUAUUGUCUGAGUACUAUAUAAUAGUUAAAACUUUCAACAACGGAUCUCUUGGUUCUGGCAUCGAUGAAGAACGCAGC
This 300-nucleotide unclassified non-coding RNA is filed under the name uncultured fungus. RNAcentral's name for it is "partial contains small subunit ribosomal RNA, internal transcribed spacer 1, and 5.8S ribosomal RNA". The stretch from base 1 to 73 matches the Rfam family "Eukaryotic small subunit ribosomal RNA", at positions 1759 to 1831 of the family's 1831-position model. Lineage: Eukaryota; Fungi. The record is from RNAcentral.